RNAcentral lists this non-coding RNA (29 nucleotides) under Mus musculus (house mouse). The record is from RNAcentral. Lineage: Eukaryota; Metazoa; Chordata; Mammalia; Rodentia; Muridae.
UGGAUUUCUAAGAUGCUACUUGCCUAUUU